Unclassified non-coding RNA from Pongo abelii (Sumatran orangutan), 148 nucleotides. It matches the Rfam family "Metazoan signal recognition particle RNA". From Rfam's summary of the family: The signal recognition particle (SRP) is a universally conserved ribonucleoprotein. It is involved in the co-translational targeting of proteins to membranes. The eukaryotic SRP consists of a 300-nucleotide 7S RNA and six proteins: SRPs 72, 68, 54, 19, 14, and 9. Lineage: Eukaryota; Metazoa; Chordata; Mammalia; Primates; Hominidae. The record is from Ensembl.
GCCAGGUAUGGUGGCGCAUGCCUGUAAUCCCAGCUACUCAGGAGGCCGAGGCUGGAGGAUCACUUGAGACCAGGAGCAUGAGGUUGUAGUGAGCUAUGAUCGUGUCACUGCACUCCAGCCUGGGUGACAGAAUGAGACCCUGUCUCUA